Molecule: ribosomal RNA, 253 nt
Filed under: uncultured bacterium
Lineage: Bacteria
Description: partial 16S ribosomal RNA
Rfam family: Bacterial small subunit ribosomal RNA
Source: RNAcentral
GACGGAGGAGGCAAGCGUUAUCCGGAAUUAUGGGGCGUAAAGGGUACGUAGGCGGCUGGUCAAGUCUGGGGUUAAAGGCCACAGCUCAACUGUGGGAAGGCCCUGGAAACUGACCGGCUAGAGUGAGGUAGGGGUUGCGGGAAUUCCCGGUGUAGCGGUGAAAUGCGUAGAGAUCGGGAAGAACACCUGAGGCGGAAGCGCGCAACUGGGCCUCAACUGACGCUGAGGUACGAAAGCUAGGGGAGCGAAGGGG